CUACGGGCGGCUGCAGUGAGGAAUAUUGCGCAAUGGGGGCAACCCUGACGCAGCAACGCCGCGUGGAUGAUGAAGGCCUUCGGGUUGUAAAAUCCUUUUCUGGGGGACGAUAAUGACGGUACCUCAGGAAUAAGUCCCGGCUAACUACGUGCCAGCAGCCGCGGUAAAACGUAGGGGGCAAGCGUUAUCCGGAUUUACUGGGCGUAAAGCGCGCGUAGGCGGUGUCGUAAGUUGGAUGUGAAAGCUCCUGGCUUAACUGGGAGAGGUCGUUCAAAACUGCGGUGCUUGAGGAUAGAAGAGGAGAGUAGAAUUCCCGGUGUAGUGGUGGAAUGCGUAGAUAUCGGGAGGAAUACCAGUGGCGAAGGCGACUCUCUGGUCUAUACCUGACGCUGAGGUGCGAAAGCGUGGGGAGCGAACGGGAUUAGAUACCCGAGUAGUC
RNAcentral lists this ribosomal RNA (439 nucleotides) under uncultured bacterium. RNAcentral describes it as "partial 16S ribosomal RNA". It matches the Rfam family "Bacterial small subunit ribosomal RNA", at positions 339 to 795 of the family's 1533-position model. The record is from RNAcentral.